GACGAACGCUGGCGGCGUGCUUAACACAUGCAAGUCGAACGGAAAGGCCCUGCUUUUGUGGGGUGCUCGAGUGGCGAACGGGUGAGUAACACGUGAGUAACCUGCCCUUGACUUUGGGAUAACUUCAGGAAACUGGGGCUAAUACCGGAUAUGAUCUCCUGCUGCAUGGUGGGGGUUGGAAAGUUUCGGCGGUUGGGGAUGGACUCGCGGCUUAUCAGCUUGUUGGUGGGGUAGUGGCUUACCAAGGCUUUGACGGGUAGCCGGCCUGAGAGGGUGACCGGCCACAUUGGGACUGAGAUACGGACCAGACUGCUAUGGGAGGCAGCAGUGGGGAAUAUUGCACAAUGGGCGGAAGCCUGAUGCAGCAACGCCGCGUGCGGGAUGACGGCCUUCGGGUUGUAAACAGCUUUCGCAUGUGACGAAGCGUGAGUGACGGUAAUGGGUAAAGAAGCACCGGCUAACUACGUG
Molecule: ribosomal RNA, 468 nt
Filed under: uncultured bacterium
Lineage: Bacteria
Description: partial 16S ribosomal RNA
Rfam family: Bacterial small subunit ribosomal RNA
Source: RNAcentral